RNAcentral lists this ribosomal RNA (510 nucleotides) under uncultured bacterium. Its description in RNAcentral is "partial 16S ribosomal RNA". It matches the Rfam family "Bacterial small subunit ribosomal RNA", at positions 28 to 507 of the family's 1533-position model. The record is from RNAcentral.
GACGAACGCUGGCGGCGUGCUUAACACAUGCAAGUCGAACGAAGAGCGAUGGAAGCUUGCUUCUAUCAAUCUUAGUGGCGAACGGGUGAGUAACGCGUAAUCAACCUGCCCUUCAGAGGGGGACAACAGUUGGAAACGACUGCUAAUGCCGCAUACGAUCUGACCUCGGCAUCGAGGAUAGAUGAAAGGUGGCCUCUAUUGAUAAGCUAUCACUGAAGGAGGGGAUUGCGUCUGAUUAGCUAGUUGGAGGGGGAACGGCCCACCAAGGCGAUGAUCAGUAGCCGGUCUGAGAGGAUGAACGGCCACCUUGGGACUGAGACACGGCCCAGACUCCUACGGGAGGCAGCAGUGGGGAAUCUUCCGCAAUGGACGAAAGUCUGACGGAGCAACGCCGCGUGAGUGAUGACGGCCUUCGGGUUGUAAAGCUCUGUUAAUCGGGACGAAAGGCCUUCUUGCGAAUAGUUAGAAGGAUUGACGGUACCGGAAGAGAAAGCCACGGCUAACUACGUG